Non-coding RNA from Pelodiscus sinensis (Chinese soft-shelled turtle), 546 nucleotides. NCBI's taxonomy places the organism in Eukaryota, Metazoa, Chordata, Testudines, Trionychidae. The record is from RefSeq and is a predicted model, not a curated record.
AGUCCAACUCUCACUCCUUGAAUCUCCUCUACCUGGAUAAGAGAGAUCACGAGCAGGACUGCAAUUGCCUGGCUAUUGAGAGCACCCCCUGUCUGGUAACUACUAAAGUGACACCUAGUUCCCAACUGAGCUUCAGCCAUGAAGAUUCUUUAUCUGCUCUUUGCUGUUAUAUUUCUGGUGCUCCAGGGUGCUCCAGAAUGGUCCCAGGCUCAGAAUUGGAGUAUGAGAUGCAGAUACCGUGGAGGGUUCUGUCGCACUGGGAGGUGCCCUUCUAAUACAAUACGCAUUGGAAAAUGCUCUGGAGACGGAAAAUUUUGCUGUCAAAGGAAAUUAUUUGACUGAUGGUCUAGGCAGGAUCUCUGGGAAGCUGAGAGACAAUGAUUUGCUUCUAAAAUCAUCAGGCCCUCCUUCAAUGAAAUGCUGAAAUGCUGUUUAUUUGGGCUGUAAAAAACUUUGUGUGCUGGAGACAUUCCAGAAGGGAGCCCUUGUAUCACUAUAUAAGAUUUGCUGCUUUCCUUUUAAUAAAAGCAAGCUGGUUCCAACUAA